UACAGAGGCCCCGAGCGUUACCCGGAAUCACUGGGCGUAAAGCGUGUGUAGGUGGUCAUAUUAGUCGUUCGUUAAAACCCCCGGCUCAACUGGGGAGGUGCGGGCGAAACGGUAUGACUAGAGGGUGUGAGAGGUACAUGGAACUCAUGGUGUAGGGGUGAAAUCCGUUGAUAUCAUGGGGAACACCGAAAGCGAAGGCAAUGUACUGGCGCAUUCCUGACACUGAAACACGAAAGCGUGGGUAGCGAACGGG
Molecule: ribosomal RNA, 253 nt
Filed under: uncultured bacterium
Lineage: Bacteria
Description: partial 16S ribosomal RNA
Rfam family: Bacterial small subunit ribosomal RNA
Source: RNAcentral